GAGCUCAAAUUUGAAAUCUGGGGCCCCCGGCCCCCGAGUUGUAAUUUGGAGAGGCAUCUUCGGGAGGAGCGCUGGCCAAUGUUCCUUGGAACAGGACGUCGCAGAGGGUGAGAAUCCCGUGCCAGGCCAGCCGCGCCCUUCCACGUGAAGCGCCUUCGACGAGUCGAGUUGUUUGGGAAUGCAGCUCCAAGUGGGUGGUAAAUUUCAUCUAAAGCUAAAUACCGGCGAGAGACCGAUAGCGCACAAGUAGAGUGAUCGAAAGAUGAAAAGCCUUUGAAAAUAGAGUCAAAAAGUACGUGAAAUUGUUGAAAGGGAAGCGCUUGAGACCAGACUCGGAGCGAGGCAAACAUCUGGCCCCGCGGGGCCGUGCACUUGCCUCGGGCCGGGCCAGCAUCAGUUGGUGCGGCGGGAGAAAGGCGCGGGGAAUGUGGCUCCCCUCGGGGAGUGUUAUUAGCCCCGUGCUCAAUGCCGCCCGCACCGACUGAGGACCGCGCUUCGGCUAGGAUGCUGGCUUAAUGGCCUUCAGCGACCCGUCUUGAAACACGGA
Molecule: ribosomal RNA, 547 nt
Filed under: Dissingia leucomelaena
Lineage: Eukaryota; Fungi; Ascomycota; Pezizomycetes; Pezizales; Helvellaceae
Description: partial 28S ribosomal RNA
Rfam family: Eukaryotic large subunit ribosomal RNA
Source: RNAcentral